CCGACGGUGAGAGAUGAAAGCUGGGGGAGCAAACCGGAUUAGAUACCCGGGUAGUCCCAGCUGUAAACUAUGCAAACUCAGUGAUGCAUUGGCUUGUGGCCAAUGCAGUGCUGCAGGGAAGCCGUUAAGUUUGCCGCCUGGGAAGUACGUACGCAAGUAUGAAACUUAAAGGAAUUGGCGGGGGAGCACCACAAGGGGUGAAGCCUGCGGUUCAAUUGGAGUCAACGCCAGAAAUCUUACCCGGAGAGACAGCAGAAUGAAGGUCAAGCUGAAGACUUUACCAGACAAGCUGAGAGGUGGUGCAUGGCCGUCGCCAGCUCGUGCCGUGAGAUGUCCUGUUAAGUCAGGUAACGAGCGAGAUCCCUGCCUCUAGUUGCCACCAUUACUCUCAGGAGUAGUGGGGCGAAUUAGCGGGACCGCCGCAGUUAAUGCGGAGGAAGGAAGGGGCCACGGCAGGUCAGUAUGCCCCGAAACUCUGGGGCCACACGCGGGCUGCAAUGGUAACGACAAUUGGUUUCGAAUCCGAAAGGAUGAGGUAAUCCUCAAACGUUACCACAGUUAUGACUGAGGGCUGCAACUCGCCCUCACGAAUAUGGAAUCCCUAGUAACUGCGUGUCAUUAUCGCGCGGUGAAUACGUCCCUGCUCCUUGCACACACCGCCCGU
Molecule: ribosomal RNA, 664 nt
Filed under: uncultured archaeon
Lineage: Archaea
Description: bacterial SSU rRNA
Rfam family: Archaeal small subunit ribosomal RNA
Source: RNAcentral